RNAcentral lists this ribosomal RNA (144 nucleotides) under Nitrosomonas sp. Is343. RNAcentral's name for it is "16S ribosomal RNA". It matches the Rfam family "Bacterial small subunit ribosomal RNA", at positions 32 to 173 of the family's 1533-position model. Lineage: Bacteria; Pseudomonadati; Pseudomonadota; Betaproteobacteria; Nitrosomonadales; Nitrosomonadaceae. The record is from RNAcentral.
AACGCUGGCGGCAUGCUUUACACAUGCAAGUCGAACGGCAGCACGGGUGCUUGCACCUGGUGGCGAGUGGCGGACGGGUGAGUAAUACAUCGGAACGUAUCCAGAAGAGGGGGAUAACGCAUCGAAAGAUGUGCUAAUACCGCA